This 74-nucleotide transfer RNA is filed under the name Acidimicrobiaceae bacterium. Its description in RNAcentral is "tRNA-Met". It matches the Rfam family "tRNA". From Rfam's summary of the family: Transfer RNA (tRNA) molecules are approximately 80 nucleotides in length. Their secondary structure includes four short double-helical elements and three loops (D, anti-codon, and T loops). The record is from RNAcentral. Lineage: Bacteria; Bacillati; Actinomycetota; Acidimicrobiia; Acidimicrobiales; Acidimicrobiaceae. RNAcentral also lists the same sequence under 2 other names.
GGCGACGUAGCUCAGUUGGUGAGAGCGCUCGACUCAUAAUCGAGAGGCCGACAGUUCGAAUCUGUCCGUCGCUA